ACUGAAUUUCAACAAUGAAGCGAGUGGCGAACUGGUGAGUAACACGUGGGGAAUCUGCCCAGAAGCAGGGGAUAACACUUGGAAACAGGUGCUAAUACCGUAUAACAACAAAAUCCGCAUGGAUUUUGUUUAAAAGAUGGCUCUGCUAUCACUUCUGGAUGGACCCGCGGCGUAUUAGCUAGUUGGUGAGGUAAAGGCCCACCAAGACGAUGAUACGUAGCCGACCUGAGAGGGUAAUCGGCCACAUUGGGACUGAGACACGGCCCAAACUCC
RNAcentral lists this ribosomal RNA (273 nucleotides) under uncultured Lactobacillus sp. RNAcentral's name for it is "partial 16S ribosomal RNA". It matches the Rfam family "Bacterial small subunit ribosomal RNA", at positions 66 to 339 of the family's 1533-position model. The record is from RNAcentral. Lineage: Bacteria; Bacillati; Bacillota; Bacilli; Lactobacillales; Lactobacillaceae.